GCCCUCGUAGUGUAGUGGUCAGCACGCUCGACGCGUAACCGAAACGUCCGUGGUUCGAAUCCCGGCGAAGGCG
This 73-nucleotide transfer RNA is filed under the name Stegodyphus mimosarum. It matches the Rfam family "tRNA". Rfam says of the family: Transfer RNA (tRNA) molecules are approximately 80 nucleotides in length. Their secondary structure includes four short double-helical elements and three loops (D, anti-codon, and T loops). Lineage: Eukaryota; Metazoa; Arthropoda; Arachnida; Araneae; Eresidae. The record is from Rfam by way of RNAcentral.